CUGGGACACAGACUCAUCAAACAACCCACCAGGCAACAUGGCCUUGGCACAAUUUCUCAGUGAGAGGUUGCCAUGGCUACACUUAUUUAAAAUGUAGUGAAGAAUAAAUCUGGAAGAGAAGAGUUUCCACUGUGAUUAGAUCACAAUGUGAAAGCUUGUAUCCGUCUGGUUAAUGUGACCAAACAGGAGCUCAGGAAUGCCAGCUUUAAGAUUCCACAGGCUAGGCGAAGCAACACAGGAUAACGAGUUGGAAGCUACAGUCAUCUCCAUGGCAACAGACUGAUGCAGGUAAUGACGGAUGAGUCACGGUUGACCUUGCGCGGAGGGAAAGGAGUCGUUUCUCAGGAGUAAUACGGGUCCUGACUGCCUGAGCUCCUCGCGUUUCCUGCUUCGGCAAAAGCCUCGGCAGGUGGCAAGCCCUGCAUUGCGAUUGCUGUGCGGAGAUUUUCAGUUACACAAAAGGCAGAGCAAAGAGGAAUUCAUUCAAACUGACUGCGGCAUUUCACCGGUUCGCCGAGGACCAUUUGCUUUCUUUUCCUUCAUUUCCCACGUCCUCCCAAACACCAAACAGAGGUGAGAGGUCAGAGAGGCAACUCUCGUGCAGUUCUGUCUGCACGUCUAAAUGCACAUCGGUCCUCUUAUCUGAAAAAGUAAAAUCUCUCCAAACAAAAUUACUCCCAUUAUAGUAAUGUAUACAGCUUUUGUUGCAAGAUGGAACAUUAUCAUCAAAGUGUCGGUCUAAUUUUUCAUUGUCUCACUAUCCCCCUGCCCCCAGAUUACAAUCCACUGACUGAA
Molecule: long non-coding RNA, 795 nt
Organism: Anguilla rostrata (American eel)
Lineage: Eukaryota; Metazoa; Chordata; Actinopteri; Anguilliformes; Anguillidae
Exons: 3
Source: RefSeq, a predicted model, not a curated record